RNAcentral lists this ribosomal RNA (484 nucleotides) under uncultured bacterium. RNAcentral describes it as "partial 16S ribosomal RNA". It matches the Rfam family "Bacterial small subunit ribosomal RNA", at positions 28 to 523 of the family's 1533-position model. The record is from RNAcentral.
GACGAACGCUGGCGGCGUGCUUAACACGUGCAAGUCGAACGAUGAAGCCGGAGCUUGCUCUGGUGAAUUAGUGGCGAACGGGUGAGUAACACGUGAGUAACCUGCCCUUGACUCUGGGAUAACUGCUAGAAAUGGUAGCUAAUACCGGAUACGACCCUCGGAGGCAUCUCCAGGGGGUGGAAAGAAUUUCGGUCAAGGAUGGACUCGCGGCCUAUCAGCUAGUUGGUGAGGUAAUGGCUCACCAAGGCGACGACGGGUAGCCGGCCUGAGAGGGUGACCGGCCACGCUGGGACUGAGACACGGCCCAGACUCCUACGGGAGGCAGCAGUGGGGAAUAUUGCACAAUGGGCGCAAGCCUGAUGCAGCAACGCCGCGUGAGGGAUGACGGCCUUCGGGUUGUAAACCUCUUUUAGUAGGGAAGAAGCGAAAGUGACGGUACCUGCAGAAAAAGCACCGGCUAACUACGUGCCAGCCGCCGCCGUAA